This 468-nucleotide ribosomal RNA is filed under the name uncultured bacterium. Its description in RNAcentral is "partial 16S ribosomal RNA". It matches the Rfam family "Bacterial small subunit ribosomal RNA", at positions 28 to 507 of the family's 1533-position model. The record is from RNAcentral.
GACGAACGCUGGCGGCGUGCUUAACACAUGCAAGUCGAACGGAAAGGCCCUGCUUUUGUGGGGUGCUCGAGUGGCGAACGGGUGAGUAACACGUGAGUAACCUGCCCUUGACUUUGGGAUAACUUCAGGAAACUGGGGCUAAUACCGGAUAGGAGCUCCUGCUGCAUGGUGGGGGUUGGAAAGUUUCGGCGGUUGGGGAUGGACUCGCGGCUUAUCAGCUUGUUGGUGGGGUAGUGGCUUACCAAGGCUUUGACGGGUAGCCGGCCUGAGAGGGUGACCGGCCACAUUGGGACUAAGAUACGGACCAGACUCCUACGGGAGGCAGCAGUGGGGAAUAUUGCACAAUGGGCGGAAGCCUGAUGCAGCAACGCCGCGUGCGGGAUGACGGCCUUCGGGUUGUAAACCGCUUUCGCCUGUGACGACGCGUGAGUGACGGUAAUGGGUAAAGAAGCACCGGCUAACUACGUG